UACAGAGGGUGCGAGCGUUAAUCGGAAUUACUGGGCGUAAAGCGUGCGUAGACGGUUGUCUAAGUCGGAUGUGAAAUCCCCGGGCUCAACCUGGGAAUUGCAUUCGAGACUGAACAGCUAGGGUGCGGAAGAGGGAAGCGGAAUUUCCGGUGUAGCAGUGAAAUGCGUAGAUAUCGGAAGGAACACCAGUGGCGAAGGCGGCUUCCUGGACUAAUACUGACGCUGAGGUGCGAAAGCGUGGGGAGCAAACAGG
Molecule: ribosomal RNA, 253 nt
Filed under: uncultured bacterium
Lineage: Bacteria
Description: partial 16S ribosomal RNA
Rfam family: Bacterial small subunit ribosomal RNA
Source: RNAcentral